RNAcentral lists this ribosomal RNA (162 nucleotides) under uncultured methanotroph 'type 1'. RNAcentral describes it as "partial 16S ribosomal RNA". It matches the Rfam family "Bacterial small subunit ribosomal RNA", at positions 339 to 497 of the family's 1533-position model. Lineage: Bacteria; Pseudomonadati; Pseudomonadota; Gammaproteobacteria; Methylococcales; Methylococcaceae. The record is from RNAcentral.
CUACGGGAGGCAGCAGUGGGGAAUAUUGGACAAUGGGCGCAAGCCUGAUCCAGCAAUACCGCGUGUGUGAAGAAGGCCUGAGGGUUGUAAAGCACUUUCAAUUGGGAGGAAAACCUGUCGGUCAAUACCCGGCAGCUGACAUACCUAGAGAGACCAUCCCCC